UUAAAUUGAAGAGUUUGAUCAUGGCUCAGAUUGAACGCUGGCGGCAGGCCUAACACAUGCAAGUCGAACGGUAACAGGAAGCAGCUUGCUGCUUUGCUGACGAGUGGCGGACGGGUGAGUAAUGUCUGGGAAACUGCCUGAUGGAGGGGGAUAACUACUGGAAACGGUAGCUAAUACCGCAUAACGUCGCAAGACC
This 196-nucleotide ribosomal RNA is filed under the name Escherichia coli. Its description in RNAcentral is "partial 16S ribosomal RNA". It matches the Rfam family "Bacterial small subunit ribosomal RNA", at positions 1 to 188 of the family's 1533-position model. Lineage: Bacteria; Pseudomonadati; Pseudomonadota; Gammaproteobacteria; Enterobacterales; Enterobacteriaceae. The record is from RNAcentral.